Molecule: small nuclear RNA, 19 nt
Filed under: Arabidopsis thaliana (thale cress)
Lineage: Eukaryota; Viridiplantae; Streptophyta; Magnoliopsida; Brassicales; Brassicaceae
Description: snRNA_03089
Source: RNAcentral
AGAGUUAACUUUUCGUUAG